UACGGGGGGGGGCAAGCGUUGUUCGGAAUUACUGGGCGUAAAGAGCUCGUAGGUGGUUUGUCGCGUUGUCCGUGAAAACUCACAGCUCAACUGUGGGCGUGCGGGCGAUACGGGCAGACUGGAGUACUGCAGGGGAGACUGGAAUUCCUGGUGUAGCGGUGGAAUGCGCAGAUAUCAGGAGGAACACCGAUGGCGAAGGCAGGUCUCUGGGCCACUACUGACGCUGAGAAGCGAAAGCAUGGGGAGCGAACAGG
This 254-nucleotide ribosomal RNA is filed under the name uncultured bacterium. RNAcentral describes it as "partial 16S ribosomal RNA". It matches the Rfam family "Bacterial small subunit ribosomal RNA", at positions 524 to 776 of the family's 1533-position model. The record is from RNAcentral.